This 254-nucleotide ribosomal RNA is filed under the name uncultured bacterium. RNAcentral's name for it is "partial 16S ribosomal RNA". It matches the Rfam family "Bacterial small subunit ribosomal RNA", at positions 524 to 777 of the family's 1533-position model. The record is from RNAcentral.
UACGAAGGGGGCUAGCGUUGCUCGGAAUCACUGGGCGUAAAGCGCACGUAGGCGGAUCUUUAAGUCAGAGGUGAAAUCCCAAGGCUCAACCUUGGAACUGCCUUUGAUACUGGGGAUCUCGAGUCCGGAAGAGGUUGGUGGAACUGCGAGUGUAGAGGUGAAAUUCGUAGAUAUUCGCAAGAACACCAGUGGCGAAGGCGGCCAACUGGUCCGGUACUGACGCUGAGGUGCGAAAGCGUGGGGAGCAAACAGGG